This 883-nucleotide ribosomal RNA is filed under the name uncultured bacterium. RNAcentral describes it as "bacterial SSU rRNA". It matches the Rfam family "Bacterial small subunit ribosomal RNA", at positions 11 to 925 of the family's 1533-position model. The record is from RNAcentral.
GUUUGAUCCUGGCUCGAAUGAACGCUGGCGGCAGGCCUAACACAUGCAAGUCGAACGGAGUUAUAUUGUAGCUUGCUAUGGUAUAACUUAGUGGCAGACGGGUGAGUAAUGUAUAGGAAUCUACCUAGUAGUACGGAAUAAUUGUUGGAAACGGCAACUAAUACCGUAUACGCCCUACGGGGGAAAAAUUUAUUGCUAUUAGAUGAGCCUAUAUUAGAUUAGCUAGUUGGUGGAGUAAUAGCCUACCAAGGCAAUGAUCUAUAGCUGAUCUGAGAGGAUGAUCAGCCACACUGGAACUGAGAUACGGUCCAGACUCCUACGGGAGGCAGCAGUGGGGAAUAUUGGACAAUGGGCGAAAGCCUGAUCCAGCCAUGCCGCAUGAGUGAAGAAGGCCUUUGGGUUGUAAAGCUCUUUUAGUGAGGAAGAUAAUGACGGUACUCACAGAAGAAGUCCUGGCUAACUCCGUGCCAGCAGCCGCGGUAAUACGGAGAGGGCUAGCGUUAUUCGGAAUUAUUGGGCGUAAAGGGCGCGUAGGCGGAUUAGUAAGUUAAAAGUGAAAUCCCAAGGCUCAACCUUGGAAUUGCUUUUAAAACUGCUAAUCUAGAGAUUGAAAGAGGAUAGAGGAAUUCCUAGUGUAGAGGUGAAAUUCGUAAAUAUUAGGAGGAACACCAGUGGCGAAGGCGUCUAUCUGGUUCAAAUCUGACGCUGAGGCGCGAAGGCGUGGGGAGCAAACAGGACUAGAUACCCUGGUAGUCCACGCUGUAAACGAUGAAUGUUAAAUAUGGGAAGUUUUACUUUCUGUAUUACAGCUAACGCGUUAAACAUUCCGCCUGGGGACUACGGUCGCAAGAUUAAAACUCAAAGGAAUUGACGGGGACCCGCA